Molecule: ribosomal RNA, 467 nt
Filed under: uncultured bacterium
Lineage: Bacteria
Description: partial 16S ribosomal RNA
Rfam family: Bacterial small subunit ribosomal RNA
Source: RNAcentral
CCAGACUCCUACGGGAGGCAGCAGUGAGGAAUAUUGGUCAAUGGGCUUACGCCUGAACCAGCCAAGUCGCGUGAGGGAAGACUGCCCUAUGGGUUGUAAGCCUCUUUUGUCAGGGAGCAACGCCGGCUACGUGUAGCCGGACUGAGAGUACCUGAAGAAAAAGCAUCGGCUAACUCCGUGCCAGCAGCCGCGGUAAUACGGAGGAUGCGAGCGUUAUCCGGAUUUAUCGGGUUUAAAGGGUGCGUAGGCGGAAUGCCAAGUCAGCGGUAAAAUCGCGGGGCUCAACCCCGGCCUGCCGUCGGAACUGGGUGCCUUGAGUGGGCGAGAAGUAUGCGGAAUGCGUGGUGUAGCGGUGAAAUGCAUAGAUAUCGCGCAGAACUCCGAUUGCGAAGGCAGCGUACCGGCGCCGGACUGACGCUGAGGCACGAAAGCGUGGGUAUCGAACAGGAUUAGAUACCCUAGUAAAG